Molecule: non-coding RNA, 458 nt
Organism: Pantherophis guttatus
Lineage: Eukaryota; Metazoa; Chordata; Lepidosauria; Squamata; Colubridae
Source: RefSeq, a predicted model, not a curated record
UCUACAAAAAGACAAAGAGAAGUGUGGCUUUUGUUGUGCCUGCAAAAUUCCCGCUUAUAAAAUGAAGAAAGGACAAGAGAGGGAAAGAGAGCAACAAACUCAGUACCCCAUUGUUCCGGAAAGCUAAUAGCAACAACUAGAGCCACCCGAAGAAAAGAUAGCAGACAUGAAGAAGGAACUGAAGUGAGACACUUGAAUAAAAUUCUACAGAGAUCUAUUCUUUUAUAUACUUGUGACACCCAGUUUGCUACACUUUAUCAACCAUACUGUACUAGAAACCAGGAGGCUACAAGUUAAUUGGGUGAUGUCGGGCUAGUCAUUCUCUCUCAGUCCAACCCACUUGAUUGGGAUGCUGUUAUGGGGAAAACAGACAGAAAAAGCACGAUGUAGACUGCUUUGAGAGUUGCACAAAAUAAAUGCAGGAUACAAAGUUAAUAAAUAAUUUACUUUCUUCGACA